Molecule: long non-coding RNA, 12586 nt
Filed under: Ananas comosus (pineapple)
Lineage: Eukaryota; Viridiplantae; Streptophyta; Magnoliopsida; Poales; Bromeliaceae
Description: long non-coding RNA (ACOM_LNC034070)
Source: RNAcentral
GAUCCGGGCCCGUACACAGACGCCGAACGAACAGCACCUCCUCUGUUCGCCCAAGGCUCAACAACAACGGAUACAUGUAUAAAGAAAUUAAACAAUUCCCAGGAUCACAUUUCAAUAUACAUGGCUUGCACGAAGACAAGCAACAACACAAGUGAUAGUAAGUCUAACUAAACAUGAAAUCCACUGUAAUUUAAAACUUUACAUAACUGAAAUAUUUAGUUAUUACAUGCUUUAUAUACAUUCAUUUACAUGUCUCUGUACAUCGAAAUAGAUGAUACAUGAACCCAAAAUGGUAUACCACUAGUACUCGGGUGUCCACUAGCUAGGCUGCUGGCUCUUGCCUCGAUCCUCGGCCACAAUACUCGCACUGGAACCUGUAUGGUUAGUGGUGUGAGAACUACAAGAAAGUUCCCAGUGGGUUCGGCCGCCGACCUCGCCGACUCACCCACUAGAUCUACUCAGGCAUAUGUAGACAAGAAAAGUAAACAGAUAGUAACCAACUAUAACAUGUAACUACUACAAUGCCUGCACAAAGCUGAAAGGAAGCAAUAUAGGAAAACUGUAAUUAUGCAUGUAUGCUUUUCACUAACUUUACCCAAUCUUUUGGUUAACCCUCUGGUUAACAGCUGGACAAGUACGUUAGUCCUGGGGCAAGUACGUUAGCCCAUAAAUUUACCCAAUUCAGUGGUUAACCCUUUGGUUAACAAUAACUCACCAUCGAAAUCCCUCACGGGCCCUAAGCUGCCUCCCGAUGGGACCGUCUGUCGGACAAGUACGUUAGUCCUGGGGCAAGUACGUUAGCCCAACAAGUGACUACUCCGGAGCUCACUGCCUGGGGGGAGCGACCACCACCAAGCUAAGAAAACAGACUAUGUGAGUAAGAUCUGAUUCCCCUUUAGAGGAUUCAACUGACAACAAUGUCACAAUUUAACUCUAACUAGUUCUUUAUACUAGUUUCAUAAUUGCAUUUCUCGAUGCUAACCAAAUCUCUAGUCAUGAUGUCACCAAGUUUACUAUUGUCUUGGUCCUUUACAGUUUCAUACAUUCAUAGGGUUCUAUGUCCACAUGCUAAUGUUCAUAUGUUCUUACUAUCAAUAAGAAUUCACACGUUCAAUAUCACUUACAUAAUGCCAAUGCCCAUACCCUAUAAUGUAUGAAUUCAGAAGUAAAUAUGCUCAAUGAAUAGCAUAGACAUAAAAGGUGAUUCAAAGACUUCGGAUAGCACCACCCACCUGUAGUGGUGUCCACAACUAGGAUCUCACGUCUCGGAAAGCGUCGACGACUAUCUCUCGCGACUCCGUGCAAAUAGGACUAGAGCGGUCUUCACCGUAAUUAGCGCGUCGCCGACCUGUCGGAAAGUCAAUUUAGACUUUCGAGCAUGUUCAAUUAUCAUUUACAUAAGACUAGGAGAGAUUAAACUAGAGUCAUCGCUCAUAUUUUACAAGUUAGCAUUUCAAUGCUACAGAAAGCGGCAACUAUAGCCGAAAACCUUCUUUUGGCGAUAUCUUUGCGUAGGUUCGUCGGAUUGCCGAACCGACUUCGCCAACGCGUUUCUUUUACCCUGAAUUUGGUUUAUACGCGGUCAAUUUCACUUUAGGAUUCUUAUUUUGCAAAAGUGCAUUGCCGGGGUCAGUUUUCUCAAAAAUACUAUUUCAAUGCAAUUUCACAAUUCAAUAGAGUAAUUCAACUCUUUAUUAGCCCAAGGUCCUCAAAUCAGUUAGUAAAAACUGUCUAAAUACUUCGAUUCAUCUUUCACUCUAUUUCAUUAUCUUUCUUUCUUGCUUUCUUUUCUUUUCUUUCCUUUCUUUUCUUUCCUUUCCUUUCUUUUCUUUCCUUUCCUUUCUUUUCUUUCUUUUCUUGCUUGCUGCCCCUGCAGGGCAGCAGCUGCUGCUGCCACUGCUGCUGCGCAUGCUGCUGCUGUUGCUGCUCCUCAGCUGCUACUCUAGCAGCUGCUGCUGCUGAUGCCACUGCUGCUGGCUGCUGCUGCUGAAGCUGCUGCUCAGCAGCUCCUGCUGAGCUGCUGCUGCUGCUGACUGCUGGCUGCUACAGCUGCUGCUGAUGCUAUUGCUGCUGCUACUCCAGCAGCUGCUGCUGCUGUCCACUGCUGCUGCUGCUAGCUGCUGAAGCUGCUGCUGCUGCUGAAGCUGCUGCUGCUGAAGCUACUGUUGCUGAAGCUGCUGGCAGCAGCUGGCUAAGCUGCUGCUGCUGCAGCAGGUUGCUUGUGCUGCUGCUGCUGCUGCUGAGCAAGCUGCUGCUGCUCGCUGCUAAGGCUGACAGCAGGGAGAAGGGAAGAAACAAAGCAAGGAGAGAGAGAGGAAAUAAAAUUCUCACCUUUCUUUUUCUUCUUCUUCUUCUUCUUCUUCUCUUUUCUCUUCUUUUCUUUUCUCUUCUCUCUCUACGUAUGGGCUGCAGAAGGGGGAUAAGGAUGGAGCUCCCCUGUUGGCAGGUUUAGUGGAAUUCCACUAAGCCAUCGCUAAUUACCAUUUUGCCCCUCGACUAAUCCGUUUAUCCGCGCGGAUCAAAUACCUUUCGCAGGCCCUUCCGAAAGUCCGAUUGAGCUCAAAUUUGGCAGGAAUGUUCGUUUUUACUUGACAAGUCCACUGAAAUUUUAACAUUUCAGUUUCGACCCCGUUUGGUCACUGCGAACUGUCCCGAACUGUAAUCUUUAUCCGAUAACUUUCAGAUGCUAUUUCUCUCUCUACAGGUGUUAGAAAAAUAUGAAACUUCAAAUCUAGCCUCAUAAUAAUGUUCCUGACAUCUCUGCGAAUUUUCAUAAUUUUCUGACGCUGUGCAUUUUCUGCUAAUUUUCUCAGUCCCAUUCUUUACAGAAAAUUUCAAAUCUUCUGUUUUCGCUCCGAUUUCACCCAAACACUUCCAAAAUACACCAAGGGACCUUCCCAAGCUACCAAUUUAAUUUGGAAAUAAUUCCUUUUCAUUUUGACAUUAUUUGAGCCGAAUUAGAAAUAGAAUCGGCUCCAAUUCCAAUACAUGGCCGUUUUGCACUACCACUUCGCACUGAGCUCUUCAAAACCCUUUGAAAACACACCCUUGGCUUUUCCAAAACUUCACAAUUGAUUCGGAGAUACUACAAUGUAUCCUUCCGCCUUACUUUAAUUCUUUUAAUCAAAGUUAGGGUCGGAAAUCCGAAAUUCUCUUUACUCUCUUUACAUUUCGUUUCGCGCCCAAUUUGCGCCGACACACUUAUUUCUCUUUGGAACUCAUUCCAACGCAUCACAAAUCCCUCGGGGAUGAUGUCCAACUAGCUCAAUCCUCACUUUGACCCUCUAGGUCAAAGUUGACAUCGCGACUCCAAGUUUCCAUAUGUUACAUUCUCCUCCCGUUAACAAAAGUUUCGUCCGCGAAACUUAGAUCAUUACCCCUUAUUGCUUAACGGAUGGAGAUAACUUUCCAAAUGCUAUUCCAAAGUUUCUCAAUUUCAUUCCAUACUAUACUGAUUUCUCCAAAUCAGUCUCUACGAACACUUUGUUCGCAUUUCCCAAUCUCAACUCGUCAUCGAUGCUUAUUUUAGCAAUUCUGAGUAAUUCAUCCAUAGGACCAAGCUUUUGCUUUCACGGUCUCUACUCAUAAUCUACUUGCAUAGAUCUACUACACUCGCUUUCAGUAUGAAUGAGUAAACCAGUACCACAAUUCGGUUCAUAAGUUACCGAUCCGAUACAGGCCGAUUGCCUAACCCAACCAUGAUACGACAUAAUGCCUCUCGCUCGCAAGCGUAGACCCAAUUAUCACGUAGCAAAGUUCUCAUUUGCGACAUCGCAUACCUGCUCCAACUGGGAGCAACCGAGACCCUAAACCACGUCAAGUCCUCGGGUUGGUUCGCUACACACUCUGAGUGUUCUCGAUCUCACGAUCUAACACGUGGCAUCCCACGUACUCGGGUUUAUGCUCGGACUACCGUCCUGACCAAAACUCUCUGCCCUACCCGUAGGUACCGGGCCGCUGCCUCUCGCAGCUGACUGCGCCUGCCCUAUGGGCCCAGGCUCCACAGUCUAAAAAGGGUCCAGGCACGGAUCGUCCCCAAGCACUACCCGCCAACGUCGUUUCACACGAAAUGCUCUACAGAGCUACAAGUAUCACUAUCGGCUCCUAAGCACCUAGUGCGAGCCACCAGCCCCGCGAGUGAUCCUUGGUACGCUUCACACUUAGCAACGCUCAAGUGCUACUGCCAACACACUCUCCUGGCUGAAUCAGAAUCCACAUUCUACGGACAGCUAUACUCAAGCGUCCUACACUAUCGCGUCUCUUGCCAGACAUCUCACGCUAGGCAAUUCAACCUAUGUCUCAAUUACGCAACCACAAUUCCUCAACUUAUUUGAGGUACAACUUAACUAACUCGCCAAAACCAGGCGAUCAUCUAACCAUGCCACAACAGUGACGCCCUUACCACUACACAAUCCAUCGGAAAUACCAUCUGGAUUUUCGAACUCUAGAAACGUCUUCUAACGUUUCUACUUUAAUUCUCAUUACCACCCGAAUGGUUUAGAGAAUAGGUCCACCAUGUCCAUCUUCAUCUCGAGCCCCAACAUUGGCUCACUGUGACUGCUCGCUAGCACGAUCCAACUGUCUAUUCCACAAUAGACAAUAUAUUCUCUUCCUCCCUGCAUGCUAGGGUCAAAUCCAAGUUUCUAUUUCAUUCCUCUCGAAGUAAGAGGUCAACCAACAGACCUUUCCGAAUUCUAGGAUAACGACUACAACUCCCUUCCAAGUGUCACUUAACAUUCGAUUAACCACUUAAGCUCAAUAUCAGUCGCUUAUCGUUCAUUCUUCACUAAUCAAUUCGCGCAUCUUCCGCCCAAAUAUCACUUAACUUCGACCAUAAGAUUCAAUUUGAAGUCCAUAGCUUAGGACUGCGUAUAACUUUGACACAUUUUCUGUCGAAGUUUCCUUAUUUCAUAAUCGGCCUUGUUUCCAAUAUCUCUUACACUGGUGUACUAAUCAUAGCUUAGCAUAUAGAAAAUCUUUCUACCUACUUUUCCAUCAAAUAUAGGCGGAUUAAACCACAUAAACGCCGUCAGUCCUACUAACGAUUGCUUGUGCUCAGCCCUUGUUGCAGUCGAAUCAGAAUCAGACGGCCCAGAAACCACUGGAGGGAUAAUCACUGAAAAAGGGGGGGCACAAUCGCUGGCGGAUCAGGUAUAGGUGCAUCCUGACUCCCAGAUACUGGUGUUGUCGCCCGUUGCGACACUAGAUCCUAUAACCUCAUUAUGUUCUCUUCCUGCCUCUGCAUAGCUCCAGCUCCAAUGCGCUCACCGGAGCACGUAGCUCCAGAACUUCGCUAGAUCCAGUCUGCUCUGGCAUCCUAGAAGGUGAUGCCGGAGUGGAUCUCGUCGCACGUCGCGACAUUUCUCUUGAAAUGAACCCUUUACACUAGUAAAACAAUACCAAUCAGGCGAAAGCAAUCAAGUAUAUUUAUACUCAACUCUUAGCUUUAUGUUGUGGGCCCCCAACAUAACUCCUUAGUUGUAUAUAAAUAACACUUGGAUCAGCCCCUAAUUAACAUUAGAGACUUACUAACAACUAACCAAAUUUAUUUAGCUUUCGCUAUCAUUAGAUUCGCGCCACUCGCGUUCCUGGUUCCUAGGUUUCCAUUCCUAAGUCCCCUAGGUCAUCCUAGACUUUCACUAUCACUUGCUCUGAUACCACUCUAUCUGUCACGUCCCGAGCCUCGCCUAUUUGGUCGAUCCGGGCCCGUACACAGACGCCGAACGAACAGUACCUCCUCUGUUCGCCCAAGGCUCAACAACAACGGAUACAUGUAUAAAGAAAUUAAACAAUUCCCAGGAUCACAUUUCAAUAUACAUGGCUUGCACGAUGGCAAGCAACAACACAAGUGAUAGUACGUCUAACUAAACAUAUAAUCCACUGUAAUUUAAAACUUUACAUAACUGAAACAUUUAGUUAUUACAUGCUUUAUAUACAAUCAUUUACAUGUCUCUGUACAUCGAAAUAGAUAAUACAUGAACCCAAAAUGGUAUACCACUAGUACUCGGGUGUCCACUAGCUAGGCUGCUGGCUCUUGCCUCGAUCCUCGGCCACAAUACUCGUACUGGAACCUGUAUGGUUAGUGGUGUGUGAGAACUACAAGAAAGUUCCCAGUGGGUUCGGCUGCCGACUUCGCCGACUCACCCACUAGGUCUAUUCAGGCAUAUGUAGGCAAGAAAAGUAAGCAAAUAGUAACCAACUAUAACAUGUAACUACUACAAUGCCUGUACAAAGCUGAAAGAAGUAACAGAUAUGAAAACUGUAAAUAUGCAUGCAUGCUUUUCAUUAACUUUACCUAAUCUUUUGAUUAACCCUCUGGUUAACAGCUGGACAAGUACGUUAGUCCAUAAAUUUACCCAAUUCAGUGGUUAACCCUUUGGUUAACAAUAACUCACCAACGAAAUCCCUCACGGGCCCUAAGCUGCCUCCCGAUGGGACCGUCUGUCGGACAAGUACGUUAGUCCUGGGGCUAGUACGUUAGCCCAACAAGUGACUACUCCGGAGCUCACUGCCUGGGGGGAGCGACCACCACCAAGCUAAGAAAACAGACUAUGUGAGUAAGAUCUGAUCCCCUUUUAGAGGAUUCAACUGACAACAAUGUCACAAUUUAACUCUAACUAGUUCUUUAUACUAGUUUCAUAAUUGCAUUUCUCGAUGCUAACCAAAUCUCUAAUCAUGAUGUCACCAAGUUUACUAUUGUCUUAGUCCUUUACAGUUUCAUAAUUUCACUGUUUAUCUCACAAUGCUAUCCAAUUCUCUAGUUAGAAUGUCACCAAGUUUACUAUUGUCAAAGUCCAUGCAUUCAUAGGGUUCUAUGUCCACAAUCUAAGGUUCACAAAUUCUCAUUGUUGAUAGGAAUUCACAUUUUCACUCGCUCAAUGCCAAACACCCUAUAAUGCGUGACUACAAAUAUAAAUAUGCUCAACGAAGAAUUAUAGACAUAAAAGGUGAUUCAAAGAGUUCGGAUAGCACCACCCACCUGUAGUGGUGUCAAUCAACUAAAAUCCACGUCUCGGAAAGCGUCGAGACUAUCUCUCGCGACUCCAUGCAAUUAGGACUAGAACGGCCGCUACCGUAAUUAGCGCGUCGUCGACCUGUCGGAAAGUCAAAUUAGACUCUUGGGCACGUUUACUUUUCACUUAUAAAGGAUUAGAAAAGAUUAAACUAGAGUCAAUACUCAUAUUUUACAAAUUAGCAUUUCAAUGCUAUAUAAAACGGCAACUAUAGCCGAAAAACUUCUUUUGGCGAUAUCUUUGCGUAGGUUCGUCGGAUUGCCGAACCGACUUCGCCAACGCGUUUCUUUUACCCUCAAUUUGGUUUACACGCGGUCAAUUUCGCAUUAGGACUCUUAUUUUGCAAAAGUGCAUUGCCGGGGUCAGUUUUCAUUUAAACCCCGUUUUUAUAGAAACCCUAACUUAUUUUGCAUCUUUUCAUUUUCUUUCUUUCAUUUUUUCUUCUUAUUCUUUCUUUCUUUUCUUUUCUUACUUUCUUUCUUUCUUUCUUUCUUUUCUUUCUUUCUUUCCUCACUUUCUUUCUUUCUUUCCUUUUCUUUCCCUGCAGGCUGCAGCUGCUGCUGCUGUUGAAGCUUCUCUGCUGAAGCUGCUGCUGCUGCGGACUGCUCAGCAGCUAGCUGAGCUGCUGCUGCUGAAGCCCUGCUGCUGCUGCUGUUCUUGCUAAGCUGCUGCUCAGCAGCUUGCGCAAGCUGCUGCUGCUGCUAAAGCUCUGCGCAAGGCUGCUGAGGCUGCUGCUGCUAACUGCCGAGCUGCUGCUGCUGAUUCUACUACUGCUGCUGCUGAAGCCCCUGCUGACAGCAGCUACCACUGCUGACUGCCAAGCUGCUGCUGCUAUUACUUGCUCAGCCUCUAGGCUGAGCUGCAGCUGCUGCUGCUGAUUGCUUGCUGCUGCUGACAGCAGCAGAGAAAAGGGAGUGAGGGGGGGAAAGAAAACAGAGCAAAGAGAGGAAAAGAAAUAGAAAUCUUUACCUUUCUUUCUUCUUUGUCUUUCUUCUUCUUCUUCUCUUUUCUCUUCUCUUCUUUGCUCCUUCUUUUCUCCUUCUCUCUCUCUGGACGUAGGCAGCAAGAAUGAAGAGGGAGGGGAUAAGGAUGGAGCUCCCUGGCAGGGGACUUAGUGGAAUUCCACUAACUUGGUGAUAAUUACCAUAAUGCCCCUCGACUAAUCCGUUUAGCGACACGGAUCAACUACCUUUCGCAGGCCCUUCCGAAAGUCCGAUUGAGCUCAAAUUUGGCAGGAAUGUUCGUUUUUACUUAACAAGUCCACUGAAAUUUUAACAUUUCAGUUUCGACCCCGUUUGGUCACUGCGAACUGUCCCGAACUGUAAUCUUUAUCAGAUAACUUCCAGAUGCUAUUUCUCUCUCUACAGGUGUCAGAAAAAUCUGAAACUUCAAAACUAACCUUAUAAUAAUGUUCCUGACAUCUCUGCCAAUUUUCGUAAUUUUCUGACACUGUGCAUUUUCUGCUAAUUUUCUCAGUCCCGUUCUUUACAGAAAAUUUCAAAUCUUCUGUUUUUGCUCCGAUUUUAACACGAACACUUCCAAAACAUGCCAAGGGACUUUCACAAGCUACCAAUUCAAUUUGGAAGGCAUUCCUUUUCAUUUUGACAUCAUAUGGUUCAUUUCGACCAAAUCGACUACAUAAUUCAGCAUUCGAGUUACAAUGGCAAUUGGAGUUCUUUUGUCACUUCGUUUCCACUUGUAUCUAUUCCCACACUUCCAAAGUGUGCCAAUGACUGAUCUCAAGCUUCUAAUUCAGUUUAGAAGUCUCUAAUUUCCAUUUUAGCAUUAUUGUGCCCACUUUGAUCACAAUUAGCUUCUAAUCAAGUUUCAGUCUAUUACAAUCUCCCCUCCUUAAAAUAGUUUCGUCCUCGAAACUCGAUUUCAUACUUCAAUUCUCCUGGUCAAAUAGAUGAGGGAAGAGAUUCCAUCACUCGCAAUUUCCACUUCUCAACGAAGGGUUCAUUCUAACAGCUCCACACUUAAAUGAUCUGACGGCAUAAUCCGCCAACAUUUCCCGUGGCUACUCAUUACUCAAGUGUCUCCUAGAGACCACUUUACUUUCUCUUUAUCCUUGGAUGCUACAAGCCACCAUCAAUGUCCAUUCGUCUUGCAACGAAUUUAUACGAACCCGCCAUUCAUGGUUCAGGCCAAAACAAACUAACAGAGUUGUCGGUCACACCGACCAUCGGUUCCCACAGGUGGACCAGGGGCCACCAACCCUACGUAGGCCUACAGCCGAAACCGAUCUCGACGACGCCUAGCGUCUCUCGCUCGCAAGCGCAAACCCAAUUAUCACGUAGCAAAGUUCUCAUUUGAGACAUCGCAUACCUGCUCCAACUGGGAGCAACCGAGACCCUAAACCACGCCAAAUUCUCGGGUUGGGUCGCUACACACCCUGUGUGUCCUCGAUCUCACGAUCUAACACGUGGCAUUCCACGUACUCGGGUCUAUGCUCGGACUACCGUCCUGACCAAAACUCUCUGCCCUACCCGUAGGUACCGGGACGCUGCCUCUCGCAGCUGACUGCGCCUGCCCAAUGGGCCCAGGCUCCACAGUCCAAAAAGGGUCCAGGCACGGCUCGUCCCCAAGCACUACCCGCCAACGUCGUUUCACACGAAAUGCUCUACAGAGCUACAAGUAUAACUAUCGGCUCCUAAGCACCUAGUGCGAGCCACCAGCCCCGCGAGUGAUCCAUGGCACGCUUCACACUUAGCAACGCUCAGGUGCUACUGCCAACACACUCUCCUGGCUGAAUCAGAAUCCACAUUCUACGGACAGCUAUACUCAAGCGUCCUACACUAUCGCGUCUCUUGCCAGACAUCUCACGCUAGGCAAUUCAGCCUAUGUCUCAAUUACGCAACCACAAUUCCUCAACUUAUUUAAGGUACAACUCAACUAACUCGCCAAAACCAGGCGAUCAUCUAACCACGCCACAACAGUGACGCCCUUACCACUACACAAUCCAUCGGAAAUACCAUCUGGAUUUUCGAACUCUAGAAACGUCUUCUAACGUUUCUACUUUAAUUCUCAUUACCACCCGAAUGGUUUAGAGAAUAGGUCCACCAUGUCCAUCUUCAUCUCGAGCCCCAACAUUGGCUCACUGUGACUGCUCGCUAGCACGAUCCAACUGUCUAUUCCACAAUAGACAAUAUAUUCUCUUCAUCCCUGCAUGCUAGGGUCAAAUCCAAAUUUCUAUCACACUCUUGCAUGUACCGCUCGGAGUUCGUAUCGUUUCCAAGUAUACAAUCUUCUUACUGAAGGCAAAUUACCAUCACUUCACUUAUCCAAUACUACACGCGGCCUUGCCGUGUGAAAGUCACCACAAUCAUUCCUCUCGAAGUAAAAGGUCAACCAACAGACCUUUCCGAAUUCUAGGAUAACGACUACAACUCCCUUCCGGGUGUCACUUAACACUCGAUUAACCACUUAAGCUCAAUAUCAGUCGCUUAUCCUUCAUUCUUCACUAAUCAAUUCGCGCAUCUUCCGCACAAAUAUCACUUAACUUCGACCAUAAGAUUCAAUUUGAUACUUCCUCAGAAGUUCAUAGCUUAGGACUGCGUAUAACUUUGACACAUUUUCUGUCGAAGUUUCCUUAUUUCAUAAUCGGCCUUGUUUCCAAUAUCCAAAGAUCUGCCUCUUUUCCACCAAAUAUAGGCGGAUUAAACCGCAUAAACGCCGUCAGUCCUACUAACGAUUGCUUGUGCUCGGCCCUUGUUGCAGUCGAAUCAGAAUCAGACGGCCCAGAAACCACUGGAGGGAUAAUCACUGAAGGGGGGGGGGCACAAUCGCUGGCGGAUCAGGUAUAGGUGCAUCUUGACUCCCAGAUGCUGGUGUUGUCGCCUGUUGCGACACUAGAUCCUGUAACCUCCUUAUGUUCUCUUCCUGCCUCUGCAUAGCUCCAACCAACGCGCUCACCGGAGCACGUAGCUCCUGAACUUCUCUAGAUCCAGUCUGCUCUGGCAUCCUAGAAGGUGAUGCCAGAGUGGAUCUCGUCGCACGUCGCGACUUUCUCUUGAAAUAAACCAUUUACACUAGUAAAACAAUACCAAUCAGGCGAAAGCAAUCAAGUGUAUUUAUACUCAACUCUUAGCUUUAUGUUGUGGGCCCCCAACAUAACUCCUUUAGUUGUAUAUAAAUAACACUUGGAUCAGCCCCUAAUUAAUAUUAGAGACUUACUAACAACUAACCAAAUUAAUUUAGCUUUCGCUAUCAUUAGAUUCGCGCCACUCGCGUUCCUAGUUUCUAGGUUUCCAUUCCUAAGUCCCCUAGGUCAGCCUAGACUUUCACUAUCACUUGCUCUGAUACCACUCUAUCUGUCACGUCCCGCUAUCGCCAAUUUGGUCGAUCCGGGCCCGUACACAGACGCCGAACGAACAGCACCUCCUCUGUUCGCCCAAGGCUCAACAACAACGAAUACAUGUAUAAAGAAAUAAACAAUUCCCAGGAUCACAUUUCAAUAUACAUGGCUUGCACGAAGGCAAGCAACAAUCACAAGUGAUAGUAAGUCUAACUAAACAUGAAAUCCACUGUAAUUUAAAACUUUACAUAACUGAAACAUUUAGUUAUUACAUGCUUUAUAUACAAUCAUUUACAUGUCUCUGUACAUCGAAAUAGAUAAUACAUGAACCCAAAAUGGUAUACCACUAGUACUCGGGUGUCCACUAGCUAGGCUGCUGGCUCUUGCCUCGAUCCUCGGCCUCAAAACCCGCACUGGAACCUGUAUGGUUAGUGGUGUGAGAACUACAAGAAAGUUCCCAGUGGGUUCGGCUGCCGACUUCGCCGACUCACCCACUAGGUCUAUUCAGGCAUAUGUAGGCAAGAAAAGUAAGCAAAUAGUAACCAACUAUAACAUGUAACUACUACAAUGCCUGUACAAAGCUGAAAGAAGUAACAGAUAUGAAAACUGUAAAUAUGCAUGCAUGCUUUUCAUUAACUUUACCUAAUCUUUUGAUUAACCCUCUGGUUAACAGCUGGACAAGUACGUUAGUCCAUAAAUUUACCCAAUUCAGUGGUUAACCCUUUGGUUAACAAUAACUCACCAACGAAAUCCCUCACGGGCCCUAAGCUGCCUCCCGAUGGGACCGUCUGUCGGACAAGUACGUUAGUCCUGGGGCUAGUACGUUAGCCCAACAAGUGACUACUCCGGAGCUCACUGCCUGGGGGGAGCGACCACCACCAAGCUAAGAAAACAGACUAUGUGAGUAAGAUCUGAUCCCCUUUUAGAGGAUUCAACUGACAACAAUGUCACAAUUUAACUCUAACUAGUUCUUUAUACUAGUUUCAUAAUUGCAUUUCUCGAUGCUAACCAAAUCUCUAAUCAUGAUGUCACCAAGUUUACUAUUGUCUUAGUCCUUUACAGUUUCAUAAUUUCACUGUUUAUCUCACAAUGCUAUCCAAUUCUCUAGUUAGAAUGUCACCAAGUUUACUAUUGUCAAAGUCCAUGCAUUCAUAGGGUUCUAUGUCCACAAUCUAAGGUUCACAAAUUCUCAUUGUUGAUAGGAAUUCACAUUUUCACUCGCUCAAUGCCAAACACCCUAUAAUGCGUGACUACAAAUAUAAAUAUGCUCAACGAA